UGGGAGGGGGUUGUGGAUGCUGGGGCACCCGACCAGGAAGGGAGGGUUGGGGUGAUGGUUGGACUGGCCGGAGAGUUGUGAGCGUGUUGUGGACCCAGUGAGAGGGCUGUAGCCCGGUAGGCAAGACUGGGAAUCCCCCCAGGACUGCAGAUGGGUUAGGUAGAGCCGCAGGCUGGUGGGAGGGACCAGAGACCUGGUGGGCGGGGCCUGGAGGGCAGGUUUGGGAGCCUGGGAGCCACAGCGCUUAGGGACCCUGUGAACCUGGCAUGUUUAUGUAUAUGGCGAAAGGGGAGGAGAGACCCAGAGCGGGCGGGGACAGGGAAGCGGCGGGCCCAGUAAGUGGGGUUAGAGACCGGGUUAGCUUUGGGAACCCAGGGGUGGGACUAGGAACCAAGUGUGGGGGUGGAGUCUGGAGGCCAGAUCCAAGGAAACGCUCAGAUCUGGAAAUGACUCGAGGUCGUCCUCCGGUGUGGGAACCCGGUUGGGCUGGUUGAAGCCUAGGCAGAAGACGUCUGCCUGCUUUUGAGCCAAAGCAGGGAAGAGGCAGUGAGCCAUUUCCAUUUACGUCUUCCCUGUUGAAGGAUAUUAGAGGCCCUGGGUUGCGGAGGAACUGCAAGAGGGAAGGGGAUGUUGACCCAGCUUGGAUUUUGUGUGAGUAAGGAGUAAGCCCUUAUCAUGUUAAACCAUGAAGAUUUGGGGGUGUCCUUGUUGCUACAGCCUUGCCUAGUCCGGCCUGACCGAUACAGAGCCUGAAGACUCGGACAUGACCACUACACAUUCCUGGAGCUUCACCUGAGCAGAUUCCACGGACAUACCCCCUGAGCCUGAGCUUGUGCAUGUGCGCGUGCACACCCUGGCAGACAGCCCUCUCCAGGAAACCGUGUGGGCCUCUUCAUCAUCAGGCAGAAAGUCUUCAGCCCUCUAAUUGCCGUCCUCGCUAACUCCCUGGCUGGCUGCCCAGCCUGAGCCCCUGGAGGAGAAAUGACUCCAAAUUCAGAGCAUAAACUCUGUGGCUGAUGUAUUAGAAUGUUCAGCGCAAGAAUUCAGAUGCCCACAAGUUAGGAUUUCAGAAUCCCGGUUCCCACAGCAACCGUCCCAGUGCUCCUGCGUAGUUUUCAAUGUUACUACAUGGGGUGGGGGAGGGGGAUUGAAUGAUGGCUGCAGUGUGUAUGACUGUGAGGUGUGUGCAUAUGAGUGUGUGUGAGGGACUGUGUGCAUAUGUGAUUACGACUGUGUGUGUGAAUGUGAUGUGUGUGGGGCAGGGGGGCUUUAGCUCUGCUCUGUAUCAUCUCUCUCUCUGGGUCUGGAAAACCACUUUCUCAUGCAUAAAGACAAAAAUGUGUUCUCCUAGAUCAGAAAACCCUAGAGGGCAGGGCCCAUGGCUGGGUCAGCCCUGUGUCCCCCACAGUGUCCAAGGCAAUGUUUGUUGAUUGACUGAAUGAAUGAGCAGCAGCUGCCAGCUCCAAGGCAGCUGGUUGAAAGCGGAUAACCUCGAGGGCUUUAUUUUUGUGUCAAGCAUUCUCCCAUCCCCUAUCCCAAGAAGGGAACCUGGCUUCUCUGUUCUCUGACUUCUGUGCUACAGGAACAAAAGCAGAAAUUACCUGGAACCGUCUUUCCAUCCAGGCCUCAUUUCACAGAGGGCCGAAUGGAAGAUCAGCGUUUCUCAGACAUCAUUAUCACCUUUUUUGUUUUGAGACAGUGUCUC
This 1705-nucleotide long non-coding RNA is filed under the name Homo sapiens (human). Its description in RNAcentral is "HSALNT0362960". The record is from RNAcentral. Lineage: Eukaryota; Metazoa; Chordata; Mammalia; Primates; Hominidae.